UUAGAGGUUUGGAUGAUGU
RNAcentral lists this non-coding RNA (19 nucleotides) under Arabidopsis thaliana (thale cress). Lineage: Eukaryota; Viridiplantae; Streptophyta; Magnoliopsida; Brassicales; Brassicaceae. The record is from RNAcentral.